CAACGCCGCGUGGAGGAUGAAAUCCCUUGGGAUGUAAACUCCUUUCGAUCGGGAAGAUAAUGACGGUACCGAGAGAAGAAGCCCCGGCUAACUUCGUGC
RNAcentral lists this ribosomal RNA (99 nucleotides) under uncultured bacterium. RNAcentral describes it as "partial 16S ribosomal RNA". It matches the Rfam family "Bacterial small subunit ribosomal RNA", at positions 392 to 508 of the family's 1533-position model. The record is from RNAcentral.